This 468-nucleotide ribosomal RNA is filed under the name uncultured bacterium. Its description in RNAcentral is "partial 16S ribosomal RNA". It matches the Rfam family "Bacterial small subunit ribosomal RNA", at positions 28 to 507 of the family's 1533-position model. The record is from RNAcentral.
GACGAACGCUGGCGGCGUGCUUAACACAUGCCAGUCGAACGGAAAGGCCCUGCUUUUGUGGGGUGCUCGAGUGGCGAACGGGUGAGUAACACGUGAGUAACCUGCCCUUGACUUUGGGAUAACUUCAGGAAACUGGGGCUCAUACCGGGUAGGAGCUCCUGCUGCGUGGGGUGGGUUGGAAAGAUUCGGCGGUUCGGGAUGGAAUCGCGGCUUACCAGCUUGUUGGGGUGGUAGUGGCUUACAAAGGCUUUGACGGGUAGCCGGCCUGAGAGGGUGACCGGCGACAUUAGGCCUGCGAGACGGCCCAGUCUCCUACGGGAGGCAGCAGGGGGGAAUAUGGCACAAUAGGCGGAAGCCUGAUGCAGCAACGCUGCGUGCGGGAUGACGGCCUUCGGGUGGUAAACCGCUGUCGCCUGUGACGAGGCGUGAGUGACGGUAAUGGGUAAAGAAGCACCGGCUAACUACGUG